RNAcentral lists this unclassified non-coding RNA (392 nucleotides) under soil metagenome. RNAcentral's name for it is "partial contains 5.8S ribosomal RNA, internal transcribed spacer 2, and large subunit ribosomal RNA". The stretch from base 1 to 122 matches the Rfam family "5.8S ribosomal RNA", at positions 35 to 154 of the family's 154-position model. The record is from RNAcentral.
GAUGAAGAACGUAGCGAAAUGCGAUACUUGGUGUGAAUUGCAGAAUCCCGUGAACCAUCGAGUCUUUGAACGCAAGUUGCGCCCGAAGCCAUUAGGCCGAGGGCACGCCUGCCUGGGCGUCACACGUCGUUGCCCCCCCCAUCUACUCCUUCGGGAUUGCGGGGGGCGGAUGAUGGCCUCCCGUGCGCCUCGUCGCGCGGUUGGCAUAAAUGCCAAGUCCUCGGCGACACACGCCACGACAAUCGGUGGUUGCGAAACCUCGGUUGCCCGUCGUGUGCGGUCGUCGCGCAUCGAGGGCUCGAAAAAAUUGCCGGGCUCCGGCUCGGCUUUCAACGCGACCCCAGGUCAGGCGGGGUUACCCGCUGAAUUUAAGCAUAUCAAUAAGCGGAGGA